Non-coding RNA from Hordeum vulgare subsp. vulgare (domesticated barley), 142 nucleotides. NCBI's taxonomy places the organism in Eukaryota, Viridiplantae, Streptophyta, Magnoliopsida, Poales, Poaceae. The record is from Rfam.
CCACUCGACGAUGAGGUCAUGGUGUCAUAUAUCCUUGCUAGAUUGGACUUCGACUAUAUGGCGUUUGUCUCUUCCAUCUACGCCGCAAGAACCGACCCCAUCAAGGUAGUUGAACUCUACUCUCAGCUGCUUAGUUUUGAGA